RNAcentral lists this ribosomal RNA (823 nucleotides) under Rhodococcoides corynebacterioides. RNAcentral's name for it is "bacterial SSU rRNA". It matches the Rfam family "Bacterial small subunit ribosomal RNA", at positions 85 to 921 of the family's 1533-position model. The record is from RNAcentral. Lineage: Bacteria; Bacillati; Actinomycetota; Actinomycetes; Mycobacteriales; Nocardiaceae.
GGGUACACGAGUGGCGAACGGGUGAGUAACACGUGGGUGAUCUGCCCUGCACUUCGGGAUAAGCCCGGGAAACUGGGUCUAAUACCGGAUAGGACUGCGCGGUGCAUGCCGUGUGGUGGAAAGAUUUAUCGGUGCAGGAUGGGCCCGCGGCCUAUCAGCUUGUUGGUGGGGUAAUGGCCUACCAAGGCGACGACGGGUAGCCGGCCUGAGAGGGCGACCGGCCACACUGGGACUGAGACACGGCCCAGACUCCUACGGGAGGCAGCAGUGGGGAAUAUUGCACAAUGGGCGCAAGCCUGAUGCAGCGACGCCGCGUGAGGGAUGACGGCCUUCGGGUUGUAAACCUCUUUCAGCAGGGACGAAGCGUGAGUGACGGUACCUGCAGAAGAAGCACCGGCCAACUACGUGCCAGCAGCCGCGGUAAUACGUAGGGUGCAAGCGUUGUCCGGAAUUACUGGGCGUAAAGAGCUCGUAGGCGGUUUGUCGCGUCGUCUGUGAAAACCAGCAGCUCAACUGUUGGCUUGCAGGCGAUACGGGCAGACUUGAGUAUUUCAGGGGAGACUGGAAUUCCUGGUGUAGCGGUGAAAUGCGCAGAUAUCAGGAGGAACACCGGUGGCGAAGGCGGGUCUCUGGGAAAUAACUGACGCUGAGGAGCGAAAGCGUGGGUAGCGAACAGGAUUAGAUACCCUGGUAGUCCACGCCGUAAACGGUGGGCGCUAGGUGUGGGUUUCCUUCCACGGGAUCCGUGCCGUAGCUAACGCAUUAAGCGCCCCGCCUGGGGAGUACGGCCGCAAGGCUAAACUCAAAGGAAUUGACGGGGGCC